This 233-nucleotide ribosomal RNA is filed under the name uncultured fungus. RNAcentral's name for it is "partial 18S ribosomal RNA". It matches the Rfam family "Eukaryotic small subunit ribosomal RNA", at positions 40 to 274 of the family's 1831-position model. Lineage: Eukaryota; Fungi. The record is from RNAcentral.
AAGAUUAAGCCAUGCAUGUCUAAGUAUAAGCAAUUUAUACAGUGAAACUGCGAAUGGCUCAUUAAAUCAGUUAUCGUUUAUUUGAUAGUUCCUUUACUACAUGGUAUAACUGUGGUAAUUCUAGAGCUAAUACAUGCUUAAAAUCUCGACCCUUUGGAAGAGAUGUAUUUAUUAGAUAAAACCAAUGCCCUUCGGGGCUCCUUGGUGAUUCAUAAUAACUUAACGAAUCGCAU